Molecule: ribosomal RNA, 253 nt
Filed under: uncultured bacterium
Lineage: Bacteria
Description: partial 16S ribosomal RNA
Rfam family: Bacterial small subunit ribosomal RNA
Source: RNAcentral
UACGGGGGGAGCAAGCGUUGUUCGGAUUUACUGGCGUAAAGGGCGCGUAGGCGGUCGUGACAAGUCACUUGUGAAAUCUCCGGGCUUAACUCGGAACGGUCAAGUGAUACUGUCGGACUAGAGUACAGAAGGGGCAACUGGAAUUCUCGGUGUAGCGGUGAAAUGCGUAGAUAUCGAGAGGAACACCUGCGGCGAAGGCGGGUUGCUGGGCUGAUACUGACGCUGAGGCGCGAAAGCCAGGGGAGCGAACGGG